RNAcentral lists this ribosomal RNA (452 nucleotides) under uncultured bacterium. Its description in RNAcentral is "bacterial SSU rRNA". It matches the Rfam family "Bacterial small subunit ribosomal RNA", at positions 28 to 507 of the family's 1533-position model. The record is from RNAcentral.
GAUGAACGCUGGCGCGUGCCUAACACAUGCAAGUCGAGCGAGGAACUUCGGUUCCUAGCGGCGGACGGGUGAGUAACGCGUGGGUAACCUGCCUUGUACUGGGGGAUAACAGCGAGAAAUCGUUGCUAAUACCGCAUAUGCUCUUAGUAUCGCAUGAUACAUAGAGGAAAACUCCGGUGGUACAAGAUGGACCCGCGUCGCAUUAGCUAGUUGGUGAGGUAAAAGCUCACCAAGGCGACGAUGCGUAGCCGACCUGAGAGGGUGAUCGGCCACAUUGGGACUGAGACACGGCCCAGACUCCUACGGGAGGCAGCAGUGGGGAAUAUUGCGCAAUGGGGGAAACCCUGACGCAGCAACGCCGCGUGAAUGAUGAAGGUUUUCGGAUCGUAAAGUUCUAUCAGCAGGGAUGAAUUUGUACAGUACCUGACUAAGAAGCCCCGGCUAACUACGUG